Molecule: ribosomal RNA, 433 nt
Filed under: uncultured bacterium
Lineage: Bacteria
Description: partial 16S ribosomal RNA
Rfam family: Bacterial small subunit ribosomal RNA
Source: RNAcentral
AACGAACGCUGGCGGCAUGCCUAACACAUGCAAGUCGAACGAGACCUUCGGGUCUAGUGGCGCACGGGUGCGUAACGCGUGGGAACCUGCCCUUAGGUUCGGAAUAACUCCCCGGAAGGGGUGCUAAUACCGGAUAAUGUCUUCGGACCAAAGAUUUAUCGCCUUUGGAUGGGCCCGCGUUGGAUUACCUAGUUGGUAGGGUAAAAGCCUACCAAGGCGACGAUCCAUAGCUGGUCUGAGAGGAUGAUCAGCCACACUGGGACUGAGACACGGCCCAGACUCCUACGGGAGGCAGCAGUGGGGAAUAUUGGACAAUGGGCGAAAGCCUGAUCCAGCAAUGCCGCGUGAGUGAUGAAGGCCUUAGGGUUGUAAAGCUCUUUUACCCGGGAUGAUAAUGACAGUACCGGGAGAAUAAGCGCCGGCUAACUCCGUG